This 343-nucleotide unclassified non-coding RNA is filed under the name soil metagenome. RNAcentral describes it as "partial contains 5.8S ribosomal RNA, internal transcribed spacer 2, and large subunit ribosomal RNA". The stretch from base 1 to 120 matches the Rfam family "5.8S ribosomal RNA", at positions 35 to 154 of the family's 154-position model. The record is from RNAcentral.
GAUGAAGAACGUAGCGAAAUGCGAUAAGUAAUGUGAAUUGCAGAAUUCAGUGAAUCAUCGAAUCUUUGAACGCACAUUGCGCCCGCUAGUAUUCUGACGGGCAUGCCUGUCCGAGCGUCAUUUCAACCCUCAAGCCCCCGGGCUUGGUGUUGGGGAUCGGCGAGCCUCCGCGCCCGCCGUCCCCUAAAUCUAGUGGCGGUCUCGCUGUAGCUUCCUCUGCGUAGUAGCACACCUCGCACUGGGAAACAGCGCGGCCACGCCGUUAAACCCCCAACUUCUGAACGUUUGACCUCGGAUCAGGUAGGAAUACCCGCUGAACUUAAGCAUAUCAAUAAGCGGAGGA